UACGGGGGGAGCAAGCGUUGUUCGGAUUUACUGGGCGUAAAGGGCGCGUAGGCGGUCAGCACAAGUCAGUUGUGAAAUCUCCGGGCUUAACUCGGAACGGUCAAGUGAAACUGUCAUGCUAGAGUGCAGAAGGGGCAAUCGGAAUUCUUGGUGUAGCGGUGAAAUGCGUAGAUAUCAAGAGGAACACCUGAGGUGAAGACGGGUUGCUGGGCUGACACUGACGCUGAGGCGCGAAAGCGUGGGGAGCAAACAGG
RNAcentral lists this ribosomal RNA (254 nucleotides) under uncultured bacterium. Its description in RNAcentral is "partial 16S ribosomal RNA". It matches the Rfam family "Bacterial small subunit ribosomal RNA", at positions 524 to 776 of the family's 1533-position model. The record is from RNAcentral.